Molecule: long non-coding RNA, 301 nt
Organism: Suricata suricatta (meerkat)
Lineage: Eukaryota; Metazoa; Chordata; Mammalia; Carnivora; Herpestidae
Exons: 2
Source: RefSeq, a predicted model, not a curated record
AUGCUGAGACGGAUGCUGUCGUAGGCUGAAUAAUGGUCCCCAGAGAUGCUCGAAGAUCCUGUGAAUAUGACAAUUUAUAGAAGCAAGAUGUGUAUGCUGGGAAAUAUUUUGGAGAAUUCUGAGAAGUAUCAAGAAAAAACGGAAAUCUCCAGUAAUCUUCUCAUACCCAGAAAUGAGCCUUAUUAUUUCUGUUUUUAUUUCACGUGUGUAUGUCACACACACACUAUAUUCCUUCAAAUUGGGAGAGUACUGUUUGUAUCUUUAAAUCCUGUUUCUUUUACUUAAUACAUUGUUCCGCAAA